CGGAGUGUAGCACAGUGGGUAAGGAACUGGGCUUGUAACCAAAAGGUCGCAGGUUCGAUUCCUUUAAAUUUUA
RNAcentral lists this transfer RNA (73 nucleotides) under Anguilla anguilla (European eel). Its description in RNAcentral is "tRNA-OTHER". Lineage: Eukaryota; Metazoa; Chordata; Actinopteri; Anguilliformes; Anguillidae. The record is from RNAcentral.